Molecule: ribosomal RNA, 495 nt
Filed under: uncultured bacterium
Lineage: Bacteria
Description: partial 16S ribosomal RNA
Rfam family: Bacterial small subunit ribosomal RNA
Source: RNAcentral
GACGAACGCUGGCGGCGUGCCUAAUACAUGCAAGUAGAACGCUGAAGGAGGAGCUUGCUUCUCUGGAUGAGCUGCGAACGGGUGAGUAACGCGUAGGUAACCUGCCUGGUAGCGGGGGAUAACUAUUGGAAACGAUAGCCAAUACCGCAUAAGAGUAGAUGUCGCAUGACAUUUGCUUAAAAGGUGCAAUUGCAUCACUACCAGAUGGACCUGCGUUGUAUUAGCUAGUUGGUGAGGUAACGGCUCACCAAGGCAACGAUACAUAGCCGACCUGAGAGGGUGAUCGGCCACACUGGGACUGAGACACGGCCCAGACUCCUACGGGAGGCAGCAGUAGGGAAUCUUCGGCAAUGGACGGAAGUCUGACCGAGCAACGCCGCGUGAGUGAAGAAGGUUUUCGGAUCGUAAAGCUCUGUUGUAAGAGAAGAACGAGUGUGAGAGUGGAAAGUUCACACUGUGACGGUAUCUUACCAGAAAGGGACGGCUAACUACGUG